GGUUAACCAGCUGAUGGGUAUUGAGGAGGGCACCUGUGGUGAUGAGCCCUGGGUGUUAUAUGUAACACUCAAUGAAUCAUUGAGUAGUACAUCAGAAACUAAUGAUGUACUAUAUGCUAGCUAACUGAACAUAACAAAAAGCAAUUAUGGUAUUCCCCACACCAAAAAAACCUAAAAAACAAAAAAUCAAAGACCCUAUCUCCAAAUAUGGUCACAUUUGGAGGUCCUGGGGAUUGGGACUUCAACAUAGGAAUUGGGAGGAAAGCGGUGGGUCCAUAACACAGAGGAGGCGGUGUGAAAGCUGGUAUGUUCAGACAGCUGGGGGACAUCACGAAGUCUAGACCGUCUUCCGUUCCACACAGGAAGGCAGGAAAUCCCAGAGAGCUGGGAGUGCCUCCGCCGGGCUGGUGAAGCCGCGCACGGUGUGUGAGUGAGUUCCCACCCGAGCGCAAGCGCACGGGUGCGCACUGCCCUGUCUCCUCGCCGUGGGCCCCGUUGAUUUCAGGAGCUGCUAAGGCGCUCAGAGUAAGCUGUUCGUGGUCGGUGAUCCCGCGACCUUCCAGGGCCGUGAGCCUUUUCUCAGGCACACACGGGGGGUGUGGAGCCUUAGAGACCCCGCAGCAUAUUGGCGGGUGGCCGGGAUGUUCCGCACAUGGAGGUGGGGGGUGCUCGGCUGGGAGGGACGUCGGUGGGCUCGGCCUUUGAAAGGCUGCAAGGGAGCUGCCUGGGAGCGCAGCUUGGAGAGAGAGGGCUGUCUUCCUGCGGAGGCACAGUUAUCUCGAAUACCGCCCGUGCCCACCCUCCCCUCGCCCAAGGGGCGCCGCACGCGGGAGGAACCGUGUGCGGAGGAGGGGAGUGAGCGCUCCUUGCUCUGAAGCACCUCUGGGCACCGGAUAGCCAGAGAUGACCACGCUGGAACCAAGGACAUCGACCUCUCGCAGGAACGCCGGACACAAACAGAAGCCACAUGGGGCACCCCAACCUACGUGUACACAAAACGCGGGCCUGCCGAGGACAGAGACGUGCUCCUCCCACCUCCACGCCAGCUCUGCUUUCUAGAACGUUGUAGUAUCCAGACGGAUUAAUCUUUCCUCUUCAUUUCUUCUUUGCAGCGUUUUCUCGUUGCUCACAAUACCCUGUGUGGCCCCCACCUCUCCUCGCACACAACCUAUUGAGUAUUGGCUCUGUAGACGGACUUGCGAGGAGUGGCAGCUGGAGGCGACGGAGUCCUGUUCCCCGAGGCGCGGCUCACCUGUUCUGAUGCGCCCUAGGCGGCAUAGCGUCUCUUCAUAUAGUCCUUGCGCGUUUCUUUCCUUUUUUUUUUCUCUUAGCAGCGUUAUAUUUAAAAAAUAAUAUAUGCUCAUUUUAGACAAGUUGGAAAGUAUAGAAAAGUACAGAAGAACAGAAAAAAUUCGUUAUUAAAAAUGUAUUCCCCAGAGGUCAUUUUUAUUACAAUAUUGGCAAACAUUCCUCUAAUGUCUUGUAUAGCUUUUCAAGUAGUUGAGUUUAUGCUAGUUAAUAUAAAUGCUUUCCUUAAUGGUACAAAACAAGCAUUUCCCUGUACACUUAGUCUGAGUUUUAAAGGCUACAAACGUUUUAUAACUUAGAUGUGCCAUAAAUUUUAACCAUUCACCUUUUAUUGGAAUUUUAGGGUGUGUCCAGCUCUUUUUCACCAUCGUAAGUAAAACUGAAAUGAACAUACACAUGAAGAUACAAAAUGCUUGCACAUUUCUUUUUUUUUAAGUUUUUAUUUAUUUUAAUCAAUUUUUAUUUUAAUACAUUUCAUUUAUUUAUUUUAGAGAGACAGAGAGCAUGCACAAGCGGAGGGGGAGGGGCAGAGGGAGAGGGAGAAGCUCAAGCGGACUCCUGGCUGACCGCAGAGACCAGAGAGGAGGGGCUCGAUCUCACCACGCGUGAGACCAUGACCUGAGCCCAGACCAGAAGUUGGCCACCUAACCGGCUGAGCCACCCAGGUGCCCCGUGCACACAUCUUAAGUACAAUUCACUUAUCUGUGAGCAGCAGCGACCAGUUCCUGUCCUUUCCAGGGUUGCCGAGGCGUCGCUGACACUCAGCCCUGUGUGAGUGUAGGGCGUGCAGCGUCAUGGCUUGUAGAGCUCCAGGGACUGCCAAGAUGAGGUCACUGAACAUUCAUCAUCGCACAGAGGCUGCAAUGGAAUUUCAGCAGGCUUCACGAUGAGAUUGCAACAGACAGAAUGCAGAAGCAGAUGUGAGAAUUCACUGUGUUCCACUCAGUCAGUUGUUCAGGAGAUGUGCCAAACGAUUCUUGCUAAAGGCCCAGGGGGGCUGAGCCUUCGAGGCUGGGGGCGAGAAACCUGACGGAUGUCCAGGGGCGGCGGAGGCCUUGGCGGGAUUCUCCCUGAAGCUGGCGAGGCCAGUGGAAGGCUGGAUGAAGGCCAGUUUCAGGGUCUCCUCAAGAACGGGCUCAAAGGAACCUGAGUGAAUUCUGGUCAAGGAUUCCUCACUUCAGCCAAGACUGGAAACAGCCCAAGUGUCCAUCAACGGAGGGGGAGUGAGCUCUGGUCUAGUCUGAGGCUUCUGAUGUCCUGCAUCAUGGAGAAAGAAGACUUCAUCAUCACUGUUGAUCGUAAGUGGUUUGGCUCCUGGCGUGCUUCUGGUCAUGGCCGAAGGAAACUCUGUGAGAACGUGGGCUUAUGGAAGCAUCACCGGCGGCUUGUAGGUUGGUAUAAAAGACUGCACGGGUCCUGUCUGCCGGCAGCAGGAUGCACGACAUGGUUUAUUACUGGCAGCCCCACGUCACAUCGAAUUGUUUCCUGAAUUUCAUGAGGAGAGUAAAUAAAGCUUUGUUUACUGAACAUGGGAUGAAAUAGAAUUUCUUUUUUUUUUUUUUUUAAAGAUUUUAUUUAUUUAUUUGACAGAGAUAGAGACAGCCAGCGAGAGAGGGAACACAAGCAGGGGGAGUGG
Long non-coding RNA from Ailuropoda melanoleuca (giant panda), 2944 nucleotides. RefSeq lists it as uncharacterized. The transcript is spliced from 6 exons. The record is from RefSeq and is a predicted model, not a curated record. Lineage: Eukaryota; Metazoa; Chordata; Mammalia; Carnivora; Ursidae.